AUUGAACGCUGGCGGCAGGCCUAACACAUGCAAGUCGAGCGAGCGGCGGACGGGUGAGUAAUGCCUAGGAAUCUGCCUGGUAGUGGGGGAUAACGUCCGGAAACGGGCGCUAAUACCGCAUACUAUCAGAUGUGCCCAGAUGGGAUUAGCUAGUGGGUGGGGUAACGGCUGACCUAGGCGACGAUCCCUAGCUGGUCUGAGAGGAUGACCAGCCACACUGGAACUGAGACACGGUCCAGACUCCUACGGGAGGCAGCAGGGGGGAAUAUGGCACAAUGGGCGAAAGCCUGAUGCAGCCAUGCCGCGUGUGUGAAGAAGGCCUUCGGGUUGUAAAGCACUUUCAGCGGGGAGGCGUUACCCGCAGAAGAAGCACCGGCUAACUCCGUGCCAGCAGCCGCGGUAAUUC
This 406-nucleotide ribosomal RNA is filed under the name uncultured bacterium. Its description in RNAcentral is "partial 16S ribosomal RNA". It matches the Rfam family "Bacterial small subunit ribosomal RNA", at positions 29 to 526 of the family's 1533-position model. The record is from RNAcentral.